RNAcentral lists this long non-coding RNA (2624 nucleotides) under Homo sapiens (human). RNAcentral's name for it is "HSALNT0235460". The record is from RNAcentral. Lineage: Eukaryota; Metazoa; Chordata; Mammalia; Primates; Hominidae.
GGCUCAGGCAGCCUGGGGCUGAGGGCAGAGGUCCAGGGAGAGCGGUGGAGGGUGCCAGGAGAGGCUGUGUCUUCCCAAGUCAAGCAUGUUGGCGGUGGCACCUGUGUCCGCUGACCUGAGCCUGGGCGGCCACCCACCUCAUCUUUAAGAAACAAGGCCCGUAGGGCCUUUCUUCAAACCACAUCCACCUCGCCAGCCCUCUGAGGCUGGCAGCACACCUCACUACCCAGCUGGCCAGUGGAAGAUUCCACGGAACCCUCUCCUCCUCAGCACAGAGCUGAGACCCCUCCAUGAGCCCCAUGCCCCUUCCUGGUGCUGGUGCUGCUGGAGCACGGCCUUGGCCUGGGGCAGCAGGGGCCACAGUGGACAAUGCUUUUGGGAGCUGGAGCCCACUUCCUGCCCCUGCAUCCAGCCAUGGCCUUUCUGAGGCAGCAGAGACUGGAGGCGAGCGUCCCGAGGCAAACGGCGGUGGCACCUGGCUCUGUGCAGGUCUUGCUCUGUAGCCAAGGAUGGAGCACAGUGGCGCAAUCUCAGCUCACCGCAGCCUCCACCUCCCAGGCUCAAGCGACCCUCCCACUUCAGCCUCAGGAGUAGCUGGGACCACAGGUGGGUGUGCCUCUGGCUGCUUUUAACAUCCUCCCUUUGCUGUUCUGAAAACUUCACGUCAGAGUCAUAUUUAAAUGUGUAAUUACUGCUCUUUCUCCUGCUUAUAAUUCAUUAUACUUUUUGAAUUUGAGGCUUGUGUUUUUAUGAACCUUGAAAAGCCCUCUGCUGCCGGCCUCUGGAGCCACCGUCUCCCUGCCCUGCUCUCUCCUCUGCCGAGGUGCCUGUUAAGCUGCAUUCUCUCCUCCACAGCUCCCCGCUUCCUGCAGGCUUCCUGUCUCACUUUCUUUCUGUGCUCCAGAGUCUAGGCAAUCUCUUUUGUUAGAACUUCCAAUUCACCAAUACUUUCUUAUGUUGUGUCUAAUAAGCUACAUCAUCUGCUCACUGGGUUUUUUAUUUCAGUGAUUAUAGUUUUCAUUUCCAGAUAUUCCAUAUGCCUUAAAAACAUCUGCAUGAUACUCCAUGGUUUUAACUCCCCUGAUGAAUACUGUGCAUUUAACCAUCCCAGCACGUGAGGUCCCUGGGGCUGACCCCUGCUGACCCUCUCAGAACAGCUUUCUUCCUCAACGUCUUGUAAUUCCAACCAGGCUCUUCGUCUGUCUACACUCUGGGAGCCGGAAGGCCGGGAUGAGGAAGGCUUUUCUAGCAAGAGUCUUUUAGGAGACACAGGCCACGAUACUGUCAACAUAGGAAAAUGUGCAACUCCUGCGUCCCACCGUAAAACUCGAAGACGUCAAAAUACAUUCUUGAUUCUGCUCCACAAAGGGAUGUUUCCAUGGCGAUAUUUUCAAACAACAGAAAGUUCACGGCCGAUGGCGGUUACAGCUCAUGGAACUGAUGGGCAGGGCCGGGUGCAGCUUUGUAGCACGGCUGCUGCUCACAGAUUCUCUUCCAUUUGACUAAAAACCAUGCUGUCCACACCAAACAUCUGGCCUCAUCCGGAUGUUCAAAGCCAUGAAAUACAGCACUUCUGGCCAAGAAGUCUAAAUCACAGCCGAUCUACACGAGGCGGAUGGUCCACAACGCCAAGUUCCUACCCGGGCACUGAGCUCAACGCUCGCACAACUCCAAACGAGGGCGCAACCAUAUUCCCACUGACAUCCUCCUUGGGGCAGCAAGACAAGCUCCGAACAGCCUGUCCUGGGCCAACAAGAGAAGCUGGCGGGCGCCCGCUGAGCACUGUGAGCCAUCUUGUGCAUCCAGCGGUCACCAUGGUGAACAAGAAGCCAGGAAGGAAGGAAGCAAUGUCGGCAAAAGGGCUCAGAUGACAACCAAACAGAACGGUUUCCCACCCUGGGCCUCCUUUCCACACACACAGCAUCGUGGGUAUUUUAAAAUAAACAAGAUCAACGUCCAAACCUGCGCUGAGGCCUGAGCUGUGUCCGUCACUCCUGCAGGGCACAGGCCUGCCUGGCCGAAUGCAUGGGCGGUGAGAGCACAGGGCUGGGGGGACCCCUCUGUCGAGGGGCCACAGCUCCUCACACAGCAGAGCUUUAUGGAUGAAAGGGCUGAGAGGCACAGACAGGCUGAGAAAUGGGCCCAAAGUCCCACAGCAUGGAGCCAGGAGGUAGCAGACGGCCCCUGCCCGCCCCCCUCACUUGGCUGACUGCUCCCACGGCAGCCACCACCUUUAUCCUGAGUCCCGGGGUCCUCCAUCAAAUCGCUGAGCCUCGGGUGGUCUUGUGGACCCCAGCUUGUCUGUGUUGUGUUGACAACAUGGGCCUGGCUACCGGCCUAAGUGCACUUCUGAGGGGUGUCAGGGAAGCCUUUGCUGCGGCUUGGGGAUUACAGAAUUUUAAACAGCAAGAACCUUCCCUUUGCUAGUCCAAGCUUCCCUUUGUAUGAGAAACUGCUUACGUCUAGAGAGGAAAAAUGGUUGAGAAAUAGGAGGACCAGAGACCAAUCACGCGGAGUUCUUAAUCAUGUGAAAAUAUUUUAUUUUGACGUGCUUUUUCUUGAGUGCCUGAAUGUGGUGGCUCUUAGGGUAACCCCAGAAUCCUCACUGCGGCAACAAGACCUGG